RNAcentral lists this ribosomal RNA (482 nucleotides) under uncultured Bacteroidota bacterium. Its description in RNAcentral is "bacterial SSU rRNA". It matches the Rfam family "Bacterial small subunit ribosomal RNA", at positions 28 to 505 of the family's 1533-position model. Lineage: Bacteria; Pseudomonadati; Bacteroidota. The record is from RNAcentral.
GAUGAACGCUAGCGGGAGGCUUAACACAUGCAAGUCGAAGGGUAACAGCAGAGCUUGCUCUGGCUGACGACUGGCGAACGGGUGCGUAACACGUACGCAACUUGCCCUUAACUGAGGGAUAGCCCUGGGAAACUGGGAGUAAUACCUCAUAAUAUUAUUGGAAGGCAUCUUCUAAUAAUCAAAACUCCGGUGGUUAAGGAUAGGCGUGCGGCCCAUUAGCUUGUUGGUGAGGUAAAAGCUCACCAAGGCAACGAUGGGUAGGGGGCGUGAGAGCGUGAUCCCCCACACGGGCACUGAGACACGGGCCCGACUCCUACGGGAGGCAGCAGUGAGGAAUAUUGGACAAUGGAGGAAACUCUGAUCCAGCCAUCCCGCGUGCAGGAUGAAAGCCCUAUGGGUUGUAAACUGCUUUUUUAAGGGAAGAAACCUACCAAUUUAUUGGAAGCUGACGGUACCUUAAGAAUAAGCACCGGCUAACUCCG